Molecule: ribosomal RNA, 253 nt
Filed under: uncultured bacterium
Lineage: Bacteria
Description: partial 16S ribosomal RNA
Rfam family: Bacterial small subunit ribosomal RNA
Source: RNAcentral
UACGAAGGGUGCAAACGUUGCUCGGAAUUAUUGGGCGUAAAGCGCACGUAGGCGGCUUGGCAAGUCGGAUGUGAAAUCCCUCGGCUCAACCAAGGAAGUGCAUCCGAAACUGCUGAGCUUGAGUACUUAAGAGGAUCGCGGAAUUCCCGGUGUAGAGGUGAAAUUCGUAGAUAUCAGGAGGAACACCGGUGGCGAAGGCGGCUUCCUGGACACUUACUGACGCUGAGACGCGAAAGCGUGGGGAGCAAACAGG